AGGCUAUGACGGGUAUCCGGCCUUAAAGGGUGAACGGACACACUGGAACUGAGACACGGUCCAGACUCCUAUGGGAGGCAGCAGUGGGGAAUUUUGGACAAUGGGGGAAACCCUGAUCCAGCGACGCCGCGUGGAGGAUGAAGGCCUUCGGGUUGUAAACUCCUUUUAGAGGGGAAGAAAUAAAUGACGUUACCCUCAGAAAAAGCCACGGCUAACUACGUGCCAGCAGCCGCGGUAAUACGUAGGUGGCGAGCGUUACUCGGAAUUACUAGGCGUAAAGCGUAUAUAGGCUGUCGUAUAAGUCUUUAGUAAAAUUUCUCGGCUCAACCGGGAAAAGCUUAAGGAUACUGUUCGAUUUGAGUGUGGGAGAGGGAAACGGAAUUCCUGGUGUAGCGGUGAAAUGCGUAAUAUCAGGAGGAACACCGAUGGCGAAAGCAGUUUCCUGGACCAAUACUGACGCUGAUGUACGAAAGCUAGGGUAGCAAACAGGAUUAAUACCCUGGUAGUCCUAGCUGUAAACUAUGUUCACUAGAUGUGGGGGGUAUCGACCCCUUC
This 555-nucleotide ribosomal RNA is filed under the name uncultured Termite group 1 bacterium. RNAcentral's name for it is "bacterial SSU rRNA". It matches the Rfam family "Bacterial small subunit ribosomal RNA", at positions 271 to 842 of the family's 1533-position model. The record is from RNAcentral. Lineage: Bacteria; Pseudomonadati; Elusimicrobiota.